UACAGAGGUCUCAAGCGUUGUUCGGAUUUACUGGGCGUAAAGGGCGCGUAGGCGGCCACCGCAAGUCGACUGUGAAAUCUCCGGGCUUAACUCGGAAAGGUCAGCCGAUACUGCGGGGCUAGAGUGCAGAAGGGGCAACUGGAAUUCUCGGUGUAGCGGUGAAAUGCGUAGAUAUCGAGAGGAACACCUGCGGCGAAGGCGGGUUGCUGGGCUGACACUGACGCUGAGGCGCGAAAGCUAGGGGAGCGAACGGG
This 254-nucleotide ribosomal RNA is filed under the name uncultured bacterium. RNAcentral describes it as "partial 16S ribosomal RNA". It matches the Rfam family "Bacterial small subunit ribosomal RNA", at positions 524 to 776 of the family's 1533-position model. The record is from RNAcentral.